Long non-coding RNA from Neofelis nebulosa (Clouded leopard), 912 nucleotides. RefSeq lists it as uncharacterized. The transcript is spliced from 2 exons. Lineage: Eukaryota; Metazoa; Chordata; Mammalia; Carnivora; Felidae. The record is from RefSeq and is a predicted model, not a curated record.
UCAUCCGCCAAGCAAUGGGAGGCUAAAGGUCCCAAACCAUGUGUGCCUGAAGACAAAGCCUGGUUUCUCCUAAGUGACACCCCCUGAGGACUCCCCACCACCCCCGACACACCGUUUGAAAAACCAGCAACAAGAAAACACGAGCAGGUGUAUUUCUGGGGGCAACUGCCGUCUCACCAAAGCCUCCUUACAUUUCAUUCUGAUGCUCCCACAACAGUUCGUUAUCUCAUCCUGUACUGCGAGUACUGCUUUCCACCUGCCUCCUCCACGACACCGCUCAAGGACAAGGACAUCACAACGAGCAGUCAUCAGAGAAUGCUUGACUGUGUGCUGAGCAUGAAGCUAAGAAUUUUACAAACAUGAUCUCAUUUCACCCGUGUGCUAAGCCUAAGAGGAAGGCACUGUUACAGUCUCCCAUUUAUGGCUCAGCGAACAACGUCAUGGGCAGGCAUUUGUACAUAAGUGCAUCUUGAGAACAACGGAACUGAGCAACACCCCAUGGUAGUCUCUUCUCCAGUUACCUGCAUCCCUAUUUCUCUGUGCUUCCUCCUCAUUGGUUUGCAAGUUGCCCUUUUUCCUCCUCUGGAAGGAAUCGCACUGUGAUAAUCACUGUUUCCCAUCCUCCCCCCUCUUCCUGGACACCUAAAAGACUACAGUUCCCAGGCUUCUGUGGUUGGGGAAGCCAUGUGACUAAUUCUGGCCAAUGGCUUGAGAGUAGGCGUGUCCUCUGACACUAGGGUGAAAGCGUUUAAAGGCUGUGUGUGAUUCUCCGUGUUGUUUCUCUGUCCAUAGUGAAUCAUCUGUUGGAAGUGCCAUGGGAAGUAGUUACCACGUGGAAGGCAGCUUCCCCGGAAAGCUGCCCAGACUCAGGGCUUUGCAGGAACAAGAAAUAAACUUGCAUAAAGCCCCCGA